Molecule: ribosomal RNA, 467 nt
Filed under: uncultured bacterium
Lineage: Bacteria
Description: partial 16S ribosomal RNA
Rfam family: Bacterial small subunit ribosomal RNA
Source: RNAcentral
GACGAACGCUGGCGGCGUGCUUAACACAUGCAAGUCGAACGGAAAGGCCUCUUUCGGGGGGUACUCGCGUGGCGAACGGGUGAGUAACACGUGAGUAACUUGCCCUUGUCUUUGGGAUAACUUCAGGCAACUGGCGCGAAUACAGGAUAGGUGCUCCUGCUGCCUGGAGGGGGUUGGAAAGUUUCGGGGGUUGGGGGUGGACUCGCGGCGUAUCCGCUUGUUGGUGGGGUAGUGGCUUACCAAGGCUUUGACGGGUAGCCGGCCUGUGGGGGUGACCGGCGAUACUGGGACUUACGUACGGCCCCGGCUCCGACGGGAGGCAGCAGUGGGGAAUAUUGCCCAAUGGGUGCAAGCCUGAUGCUGCAACGCCGCGUGCGGUAUGACGCCCUUCGUGUUGUAAACCGCUUUCGCACAUGACGAAGCUUUGUGUGACGGUAGUGGGUAAAGAAGCACCGGCUAACUACGUG